RNAcentral lists this ribosomal RNA (250 nucleotides) under uncultured bacterium. RNAcentral's name for it is "partial 16S ribosomal RNA". It matches the Rfam family "Bacterial small subunit ribosomal RNA", at positions 355 to 622 of the family's 1533-position model. The record is from RNAcentral.
UAAGGAAUAUUGGACAAUGGGGGCGACCCUGAUCCAGCCAUGCCGCGUGAGUGACGAAGGCCUUCGGGUUGUAAAGCCCUUUCGGAUGUGAAGAUAAUGACAGUAACAUAAGAAGAAGCUCCGGCUAAACUCGUGCCAGCAGCCGCGGUAAUACGAGUGGAGCGAGCGUUGUUCGGAAUCACUGGGCGUAAAGCGUGCGCAGGCGGUUAUACAAGUCAGGAGUGAAAUCCCAGGGCUUAACCCUGGAAUU